AAAAUUUCAAUAUCUAUUAUGCACUUGUAAAAUAUAAAAAAAAAUGUAAAUAAAUAUCAAUAAAACAAAACAAACAAAACAAGCAAUAUACAAUAAGGGGAGGGGGUGGGAGGAGAUGUCAUCCUGUUUUCCAUAAAAAAAAAAGUAUCUAGCAUUUUCCCUCAGAUCCGAAAAAAAAUCAUCAAUUUCUAAGUUCGAUAUGCUUAAAUCCUGAUUACCUCAAAAUCAAAGGCCCAUUCCCCAAUUCCUGCAACAAUAUAGGUCUGAUCCCAAUGUCCUGAAAAAAGUGUUUUGGUCCCUCUACAAUGUAUCAGAAAAAUAACAAGUUAAACCCAUGGAUGAGUAAUAGUUAUCAAAUACAAAAAAAUACACACAUUACUAUAUAAAUAGCCUCAGACAAAUAUACAGUAAAACAAAAGAGAAAAAACUACUUCUGGCUUAAAUGUUUGCUAUUCUAUGGGCUGUCAUAAACUUUUACUACAAGCGGACCAUGGGCUAUUAUUCCAUUUAAUAUAUUAAUUAGAUAAACUAGAAAAAGAAACACAAAUUAUAUCAUUAAACAACAAUACAUGGUUCAAGUACAAAAAAA
RNAcentral lists this long non-coding RNA (589 nucleotides) under Mytilus galloprovincialis (Mediterranean mussel). Lineage: Eukaryota; Metazoa; Mollusca; Bivalvia; Mytilida; Mytilidae. The record is from RNAcentral.